GACGAACGCUGGCGGCGUGCUUAACACAUGCAAGUCGAACGGAAAGGCCCUGCUUUUGUGGGGUGCUCGAGUGGCGAACGGGUGAGUAACACGUGAGUAACCUGCCCUUGACUUUGGGAUAACUUCAGGAAACUGGGGCUAAUACCGGAUAGGAGCUCCUGCUGCAUGGUGGGGGUUGGAAAGUUUCGGCGGUUGGGGAUGGGCUCGCGGCUUAUCAGCUUGUUGGUGGGGUAGUGGCUUACCAAGGCUUUGACGGGUAGCCGGCCUGAGAGGGUGACCGGCCACAUUGGGACUGAGAUACGGCCCAGACUCCUACGGGAGGCAGCAGUGGGGAAUAUUGCACAAUGGGCGGAAGCCUGAUGCAGCAACGCCGCGUGCGGGAUGACGGCCUUCGGGUUGUAAACCGCUUUCGCCUGUGACGAAGCGUGAGUGACGGUAAUGGGUAAGGAAGCACCGGCUAACUACGUG
Molecule: ribosomal RNA, 468 nt
Filed under: uncultured bacterium
Lineage: Bacteria
Description: partial 16S ribosomal RNA
Rfam family: Bacterial small subunit ribosomal RNA
Source: RNAcentral